CAGAACUCUGCAAGGAGGAACAUUCUAUCUCCCUGUCAUAAAGAGUCAUUAGCAACCACCUGGUGCAGGUCACAAGCAGGGAGAGGAAAGACUGCAGAGUCUUUCGUUCUUUCUGGUGCAGCUUAACUGAUUUGAAGAAGCCGAAGAAGAAAAUCCAGUAGCACGGUUAAGACUUUAGCCAUGGCAUCUGUAUCAUACCAAAAGCCAACAUCUACUACUGUGGGAAAACAAAUGAUUUUUACAGGGAUUUCCAGACUCUUUCAAAGUUCCAUUUACAAGCUAAGUAGCUAUCACCACCCUCUUUUCAUAAAACGGAAACAGAGCAAAGUAGGCAUGCUCAUCAUGUGGGCUGAAUAAAGAAGUUAAAAAAAUAAAAUGAUCUAUGAUUCCAGAUCAUACCAAGGAACUGACAUCGUAGAUUUCAUUUAUUUCCUUUUCGGAGGAUUCUAUAGUCACUUAGAACGCAAGAUCCACCACUGAACCAAACUCACCUUCCUG
This 498-nucleotide long non-coding RNA is filed under the name Homo sapiens (human). Its description in RNAcentral is "HSALNT0323196". The record is from RNAcentral. Lineage: Eukaryota; Metazoa; Chordata; Mammalia; Primates; Hominidae.